Molecule: RNA transcript, 1391 nt
Organism: Tripterygium wilfordii
Lineage: Eukaryota; Viridiplantae; Streptophyta; Magnoliopsida; Celastrales; Celastraceae
Gene name: 50S ribosomal protein L27-like
Exons: 4
Source: RefSeq, a predicted model, not a curated record
AAGAGGUCAAGACUCUGCUCGUCGUUCGCUGCCCUAAGUGGUUACCCUUCCUCACGCAUUGCCACCGUCGUCCGCCUCUGCUUCGUAGCGCAUCACGAAGGAAUAUUCUUCCUGUUUUAUCUAACAGAGACAUGAACUUUAGUAAUCUCGCAACAAGCAUAUGCAAGCGUGUGAAUGUGAGGGACCUGGUGACCAAUCUUCCUGUAUAUGGCAGCGUCACUGAUGGAUCUGCUGGCGGAUUAAGCUUGAUGUUCAGGCGUUGGGCCACCAAAAAGACAGCCGGAUCCACCAAGAACGGACGAGAUUCAAAACCUAAAAAUUUGGGAGUGAAGAAGUUCGGGGGUGAGAGAGUGAUUCCUGGAAAUAUCAUAGUUAGACAGCGGGGCACUCGGUUUCAUCCUGGAAACUAUGUUGGGAUGGGAAAAGAUCACACCCUUUAUGCACUCAAGGAAGGAAAUGUCAAGUUUGAAAAGCACAAGCUGAGUGGUCGCAAGUGGAUUCAUGUUGAACCGAAGGAAGGCCAUGAGCUUCACCCACUCUAUUUGAAAGCAGCUGCUGCGGCUUCACAACAGUUGGAAACAGCAUCCUAAUGCCCGGUCUUUAUUCAUAUCUAUGGCUCUUAGUUACCCUAAUUUUGGAACUAGGAUAUGAAAGGGAGCAUGUUCUGGAUUAUGUGUUUAGCUCUCCCCGCAUUUGGUUUUCCAGAAGAUAUUGCUUCGGUGUAUGGCCCAAACGCUUCUGGAGGUGGCUCGGGUGCUGUCCUGAAUAUUUAAGGGGAGGCCAUUGUGUCCCUAGGUUGAUUUACACAUGCCUCUCUAGCAGCUUUGUAACUUAGAAGCAUGCUAAUUAUUGGUGUAGUGAUCAUUGACUAUGUAUCACCUGUUGUUUUGAAGGAAAUUAUGGUUACUUUUUCUCUGUGCAGGUUGAGGUUGGGACAACUCACGACUGAUAGUGUGAUGGGGCUCCCCAAAUCUGUCCCCGGAAAACUCUUGAAGGUGGCGCUGCAGAAGUAGAUAAUUUUGUAUAUUUCCAUGUCGUCGCAUUGUCCCAAUUGGCCAUUCUUUAUCUUAUGACUUUACUGACUGUAUACUCUUUUUAUCUCUUGUUUGUCGACAAUAUUUUACAGACUGGGAACACAGAUGGUGGCAGAAGCAGCAGUGAGGAAAAAGUUGCUAUUGAUACAGGCUGAUAUUAAAAUCUCUUUAGCGGAUAUAUAUUGCGACUCUGUCAUUGGGUUUUUUUGGGCCGUGGGUCGCGUGGAUCUUGCAUUCACACCCAAUAAAAUAUCCACUUUAGGCCGUGGGCUCUCAUGGAUUUAUUUCAAGAGGGAUACAUGUAUGAUGUGGUUUUAGAUUUUUUUUUAAAAAAACAUUUGCCAGUUUUUUGUGAUA